CACUACGGCCAUGCUACCCUCCUAAACAAGCCCGAUCUCAUUUGAUCUCGGAAGCUAAGCAAGGUUGGGCCUGAUUAAUACUUGGAUGGGAGAUCACCAAGGAAAACCAGGUGCUAUAGGUG
Molecule: ribosomal RNA, 122 nt
Filed under: Pteropus alecto (black flying fox)
Lineage: Eukaryota; Metazoa; Chordata; Mammalia; Chiroptera; Pteropodidae
Source: RNAcentral